Unclassified non-coding RNA from Panthera pardus (leopard), 327 nucleotides. Its record names the gene 7SK. It matches the Rfam family "7SK RNA". From Rfam's summary of the family: 7SK was discovered as an abundant small nuclear RNA in the mid-70s but a possible function has only recently been suggested. Two independent studies have found that 7SK RNA binds the CDK9/cyclin T complex (known as elongation factor P-TEFb). The record is from Ensembl. Lineage: Eukaryota; Metazoa; Chordata; Mammalia; Carnivora; Felidae.
GAAUGUGAGGGUGACCUGGCUGCAACAUCUGUCACCCCAUCCAUUGCCAGGGUUGAUUUGGCUAAUCUGUCUGGCUAGGCAGGUGUCCCCUUCCUCCCUUACCGCUUGAUGUGUGUCCCUCCAGAAGCUGUGUGCUCAGUUGAAGAGGAUGACCUUCCCUGAUAGAGGACUGUUCUUUGGUCAACGGUAUACAAGUAGCUGCUCUCCCCUGCUACAACCUUCAAACAAGCUCUCACGGUCCUUUUGCAGGAGAACUUGGGUAGUCAAGCUUCCAAGACUUGAGACACAUACAAAUGAGGUGCUGCAUGUGGUAGUCUGUCUUCCUUU